This is a long non-coding RNA of Triticum aestivum (bread wheat), 2432 nucleotides long. RefSeq lists it as uncharacterized. The record is from RefSeq and is a predicted model, not a curated record. Lineage: Eukaryota; Viridiplantae; Streptophyta; Magnoliopsida; Poales; Poaceae. The transcript has 2 exons.
AUGCUGAAAGAAAUGAACUAAUUCCCUCACCUACCCUCUCCUCUGCUCAUCCCCUUCUCCAAGCUUCUCCCCCUCCCCUCUCUCGAUCCGAUCCAGCCUACUCUGGUCCCCCCUCAACCAGAUCGGGGCGUUACACAGCCGCAGCUCACUCUCACCCGCUCUCCAUGACUCCUUCAGCCGCUGCCGCAUCUAAUCCUCGCCCUCGCAUGCUUUACCCAAAACAUGGCAAGAAAAGGGCCAAGUUGGAUGUAAGAAGGAGUUCACGGGCAAGAUGCAACCAGAAGUGAAUAGGGAGUCCGACGGCUUAUCUUUAUCUCCUCCCGUGCUUCUCCUUGAUGGUUUGCCUUCUCCCAUGACGGCGCCCAACGGAAUUGGCCGGUCAGCAUCGGCGACAGAGUCAAGCCGUCUUCCUCGCUGGCUCUGUCUUCCCCAUCUUUCUCGGUGUUGACCACUCAGGUAACUCCAGUGAAGAGGAGAUGGAGAAUCGAACGGGAGAAGGAGGGCCACGGUGGUGGUCGAGAGCAAGAGAGGAGUAGAGAUGUGAAUGUCUCGCACCAGCCGGAGACCCUCUCCCGUCCGCUGUCGCACCUCCCUCUCCUCUUUCCUCUCGCUUUCUCCCUCCUCUCUUGCUUUCUCUCUCCUGCAGGGACCGGUCCAUGGCGAAUCGAGCGUCCCCGCCAUCGCCUUUUGCCGGAGAUGCUCGUCGCCGCUGCCAAAGAUGCCUGCCGCCACGCCCGCACGCCUCGGAUCCGGCCAGAUCCCCUACUCUUCCACCCCAACAAGAAGACCCGACGGCGGCUGAUGAGGGAGGAGGGAGUGGUGCUGCGCUGCACUGUGGGGGUCGAGGGGAAAGAGAGCUAGGUUUGUGUUGUGGGGGCCGAAGCAUGCCAGCAAAAGAGCGAGGCACAUGAGGCGAGUGGGGAAAGGGCGGUUUCACCCAGUAAAGUUUCACCUAGCCAAUCGAAAGGGACCCCGAGCCCAUCAGUCAUGGACCUUAAAAAUCAUCCACAAGAUGAAACCAGCGAUUUUCAUUGGAGAGUGACGAAUAGUUCUAUUAAGUAAAUUUCUGAGAGCGAUAUACUCUUCAUCAACUAUUACCAGGCAAGUUCACGUUUGACCAUUCUUUCAGUUACCUAUGUUUAAUAUAUGCACUUAGUCCUUUGCGGUAGGAUUGCAUGGUAGGAACUUUAUGCCGGAUGGCUCGGCUUUUACCUAGUAGUUCAUUUGAGGUAGGUCUAAACUAUACAAACUUGUCACCACCGUGUGGGUUUAUUUUUUGCCUUGCUAAUGUAGACGUGGAUUGGUAAGUGUUCAUGGCGAGACUUGAGUGUCAAAGUAGUAAUCGGUACCAAGACUUUAAAUGAUCUACCUGGGAAGAAAUUGGUUGGAAUGGUGGUGAAGUACAGUGGGGCAUGCAUGGGAAAUCCAUGGUGGUGCACCACUAGUGAUCUGUCUGCUCGGGAUCAAAGGGAUCAAAUGUAUUUUCAUGUCUAGAAGCUAACAUGUGCAGCCACAAGCCAAUAUGGGCUCUGGCUUAGUUGAGUAGAAGGGUGACCUCUUCCGAGAUGGGCUAGCAGAUGUAGAACGAGUAGGUGUACAGGCCUAUCUGUGGGUUAAGGGGGAUACUUUCGAAAAACUAUGUCUCGAUCUUCCGAUCAUGGAGGUGAUCGAGUCUUGUGGGGAAAAGUGUGCAACCUCCACAGAGUGUUAGAACCUAAUCGAUUAGCCGUGUCCCUCAUACGUCUCCAACGUAUCUAUAAUUUUUGAUUGUUCCAUGCUACUAUAUUACCCCUUUUGGAUGUUUAUGGGCUUUAUUUUAGACAUUUAUAUCAUUUUUGGGACUAGCCUACUAACCGGAGGCCCAGCCCGUAUUGCUGUUUUUUUUUGCCUAUUUCAGUAUUUCAAAGAAAAGGAAUAUCAAACGGAGUCCAAAUGGAAUGAAACCUUCGGGAGCGUGAUUUUUGGAACGAACAUGAUACAGAGGACUUGGAGUGCAAGUCAAGAAGCAAUCGAGGCGGCCAGGAGAUAGGAGGGCGCGCCCCUGUCUCCUGGGCCCCUCGAGCGUCCACCGACCUACUUCUUCCUCCUAUAUAUACCCACAUACCCUAAAAACAUCCAGGGAGCCAACGAAAAACAAUUUCCACCGCCGUAACCUUAUGUAUCCGCGAGAUCCCAUCUUGGAGCCUUCGUCGGUGCUCCGCCGGAGGGGGAAUCGACCACGAAGGGCUUCUACAUCAACACCAUAGCCCCUCUGAUGAGUUGUGAGUAGUUUACCACAGACCUUCGGGUCCAUAGUUAUUAGCUAGAUGGCUUCUUCUCUCUUUUUGGAUCUCAAUAUCAUGUUCUCCCCCUCUCUUGUGGAGAUCUAUUCAAUGUAAACUCUUUUUGCGGUGUGUUUGUCGAGAUCCGAUGAAUUGUGGGUUUAUGAUCAA